Bos indicus x Bos taurus (hybrid cattle) is the source of this 1416-nucleotide long non-coding RNA. Lineage: Eukaryota; Metazoa; Chordata; Mammalia; Artiodactyla; Bovidae. The record is from Ensembl.
AGAGUGAGCACACAACACGCACGCAGAGAGGACAGGAGUCUAAUUUACUGACCGCAGUGUAAAAAGAAAACAGAUUCUGACCCUAAGCUCUUCUGACACAAAGGUUCUCUGAUUCAGGAUGAGCAAAGCCGCCAAGCAAAGGCUGGGGAGGGGCUCUCCGCAGAGGUGAUGGGGACCUCCGAGCAAGACAGUCUUUUCUGUUUUGAAACAGAGGGGGCAGGUGUCUCCACCAUGGGUGGAGACAAAAGCCGGAGCAGCCCUGGGCGGACCUGCUGCCUGCCAGCUCAGCAGAGUCAUCUCGAGGGCAAAGCACACUGUGAGCAUUAAGACAAGGUUUUGGAUGAGGAGGUGGAAGGAGAGAGAGAAGGGUCCCCAGCCUUGCUGUGAAGCGCAGUCACGUGCGAACAUGCUGAGAAGAGGGCCUGGCGGUCCUGAGCCCUGCGGAGGCGUCGGCUCUUCCUGCUGUCGCUGUGAUGGUCCACUUGUUAGGAGCGCACACCCUGCACGCCCGGCUUUUGCUGUCUCCCUUCUCUGUGACCUUGGUCAGGUUAACCUCUCCGAGCUUCCCCAUCUGGACACCUUGGUCUGAGAUGCUCUGUGCUGUCUGCCGUGUUCUCUCUGCCCACCCAUGAAUGCAGACGAUCCUGGAGAGGAGACAAUCUCUCUCCAGGGCUGUUAUUCCAUCACCAACCCUCAGAGUGAGACCAGCGUGGACAGGGAAACAAGAUGUGAUGUUACCGCACAGACACUGAGUGUCAGUACUCACAGGUAUACUGACUACAGGUGUACUGAGCGUCAGUACCCGCAGGUACUCAGGUUCCUUCUCCAGCCCGAAGAAGCCUUGCCUUCCCUCCUGUGACCUCCCUCAUCACUGCAGCCCAAGGAGCUCAGAAGACACCAUCACUUUCUCUGGACGAUGCCAGGUAAACCAGAUGACCCCUUCCACAACAACAGCUUUUUUCCAUCCUAGAUAUCUCACUGGAGCAAUCCGGCCAUCUGUCCUGCUCAUGGGAUUUUUUGGGGGGUGGAAAAGCAGACGUCAGCUUGGCCUCAGACCUCUGUGUUCAUUCAGUUAUCCUCCUCUCUUCCUGCCUACACUCAGUCCAUGAUUAACGGGAUGUUUUCUCUCCUCUCUGCUCCAGACCCGCUGACGUAAGCGGUCUGCUCCUGGUUGAUGAACUCCUUUCUGUUCUGCUCGCUAACCUUGAUGUCAUUCCCCUCUUCCUUCAUUGUAGGUGAUCCCACUUAUCCAGGCAUCUAACCCCCACCACUUCUGCAGGUCAGACACACAAGGGAGGGAUCAAUAAGUGAUAAUUAGUUAUCAUAAAAUGAUUUCAGCAGAAAGUAGUUAUCACAGGCCAGAAAAUUGUGCGAAGAGCCAAGAAGAGCCAAUAAAUUAAAGUUCACCAAAAGGCA